AAUUGUUACUUUCAAAAAAUCUUGCUUCAAAUCAAAGAAAGAAGGUCUAUUUUCCCACGUAGUUCGUCGGUCAAACCAACGAUUCUCUUCUCAAAGUAAUAGAGAGAGUCUUUUUCUAGUUAGACUUCUAUCAAUGGAAUGAAAGAACCAUCCCUUCCUAUUUCUUUGUUUGUCCUGUCAGAUAGAAAGCAAAUUAGACCCCAAAGAGCCCUUCUUUACUUUACUACUUUAGGGGGUGGGGGUGAAGGGGGGUUUACAUAGAACCGAGGCAAAGUGGUUUACGAUUGAAUCUCAGAGGCAUUCUUAUCAUUUGGUAGAUCCAAGUCCAUGGCCUAUUUCGGGUUCACUCGGAGUUUCGGCAACAAUCGUAGGAGGUGUGAUGUACAUGCACUCAUUUCAAAGGGGUGCAAAACUUCUCAGUUUGGGCGUCAUAUUUAUCCUAUAUACCAUGUCCGUAUGGUGGCGCGAUGUUCUACGUGAAUCCGCGUUCGAAGGACAUCAUACCAAAGUCGUACAAUUAGGACCUCGAUAUGGUUUUAAUCUGUUUAUCGUAUCGGAGGUUAUGUUCUUUUUUGCUCUUUUUCGGGCUACUUCUCAUUCUUCUUUGCACCUACGGUAGAUAUCGGAGAUAUUUGGCCCCCAAAGGGGAUUGCGGUUUUAGAUCCUUGAGAAAUCCCUUUUCUUAAUACCCUUAUUCUCCUUUCAUCCGGAGCUGCCAUAACUUGGGCUCAUCAUGUUAUACUCGCGGGGAAGGAAAAACGAGCAGUUUACACUUUAGUAGCUACCGUUUCACUGGCUCUAGUAUUCACAUGCUUUCAAGGAAUGGAAUAUUAUCAAGUACCCUUCACUAUUUCGGAUAGUAUUUAUGGUUCUACCUUUUUCUUAGCAACUGGCUUUCAUGUGAUUAUAGGUACUAUUUUCUCGAUCAUAUGUGGUAUUCGCCAAUAUCUUGGUCAUCUGACCAAGGAGCAUCACGUUGGCUUUGAAGCAGCUGCAUGGUACUGGCAUUUUGUAGACGUGGUUCGGUUAUUUCUAUUUGUCUCUAUCUAUUGGUGGGGAGGUAUAUGAAGGAAGGAAUUAGUGAAUUGAGGAAUGAAAGCUUGAAGACAAAGAGAACCGGGCUUUUCCAAAGAAUUACUGCAGCUUUCCCACUCCCUUUGAUUAUCAUAUACAAAAAGGUCU
This 1182-nucleotide long non-coding RNA is filed under the name Nicotiana benthamiana. Its description in RNAcentral is "long non-coding RNA (NBEN_LNC035221)". Lineage: Eukaryota; Viridiplantae; Streptophyta; Magnoliopsida; Solanales; Solanaceae. The record is from RNAcentral.